UGAGUAACACGUAUCCAACCUGCCCUUUACUCGGGGAUAGCCUUUCGAAAGAAAGAUUAAUACCCGAUAGCAUAAUGAUUCCGCAUGGUUUCAUUAUUAAAGGAUUCCGGUAAAGGAUGGGGAUGCGUUCCAUUAGGUUGUUGGUGAGGUAACGGCUCACUCAGCCUUCGAUGGAUAGGGGUUCUGAGAGGAAGGUCCCCCACAUUGGAACUGAGACACGGUCCAAACUCCUACGGGAGGCAGCAGUGAGGAAUAUUGGUCAAUGGGCGCUAGCCUGAACCAGCCAAGUAGCGUGAAGGAUGAAGGCUCUAUGGGUCGUAAACUUCUUUUAUAUAAGAAUAAAGUGCAGUAUGUAUACUGUUUUGUAUGUAUUAUAUGAAUAAGGAUCGGCUAACUCCGUGCCAGCAGCCGCGGUAAUACGGAGGAUCCGAGCGUUAUCCGGAUUUAUUGGGUUUAAAGGGAGCGUAGGUGGACUGGUAAGUCAGUUGUGAAAGUUUGCGGCUCAACCGUAAAAUUGCAGUUGAUACUGUCAGUCUUGAGUACAGUAGAGGUGGGCGGAAUUCGUGGUGUAGCGGUGAAAUGCUUAGAUAUCACGAAGAACUCCGAUUGCGAAGGCAGCUCACUGGACUGCAACUGACACUGAUCUAAGAAAGUGUGGGUAUCAAACAGGAUUAGAUACCCUGGUAGUCCACACAGUAAACGAUGAAUACUCGCUGUUUGCGAUAUACAGUAAGCGGCCAAGCGAAAGCAUUAAGUAUUCCACCUGGGGAGUACGCCGGCAACGGUGAAACUCAAAGGAAUUGACGGGGGCCCGCACAAGCGGAGGAACAUGUGGUUUAAUUCGAUGAUACGCGAGGAACCUUACCCGGGCUUAAAUUGCAGUGGAAUGAUGUGGAAACAUGUCAGUGAGCAAUCACCGCUGUGAAGGUGCUGCAUGGUUGUCGUCAGCUCGUGCCGUGAGGUGUCGGCUUAAGUGCCAUAACGAGCGCAACCCUGCUAGGCUGUUACUAACAGGUUAUGCUGAGGACUCUAGAGAGACUGCCGUCGUAAGAUGUGAGGAAGGUGGGGAUGACGUCAAAUCAGCACGGCCCUUACGUCCGGGGCUACACACGUGUUACAAUGGGGGGUACAGAAGGCAGCUCAGGGGUGACCGUAUGCUAAUCCCAAAAUCCUCUCUCAGUUCGGAUCGAAGUCUGCAACCCGACUUCGUGAAGCUGGAUUCGCUAGUAAUCGCGCAUCAGCCACGGCGCGGUGAAUACGUUCC
RNAcentral lists this ribosomal RNA (1264 nucleotides) under uncultured Bacteroides sp. Its description in RNAcentral is "bacterial SSU rRNA". It matches the Rfam family "Bacterial small subunit ribosomal RNA", at positions 107 to 1374 of the family's 1533-position model. Lineage: Bacteria; Pseudomonadati; Bacteroidota; Bacteroidia; Bacteroidales; Bacteroidaceae. The record is from RNAcentral.